GUAGCUUCUCUGCCUUUUGGCUAAGAUCAAGUGUAGGAUCUGCUCUUAUCAGUUGCCAAGAGGAGGCGCUGUGCUACUGCCCCGACUAUGAGGGAGGUUGGGGUGGUGGCUAUACAAAUCCUUUUGGUGUAAUGGUUCCUAGAAGCUUAGUAUUGUUACGAGCCGAGUCCAGAGCAUCCUAA
Small nuclear RNA from Rana temporaria (common frog), 182 nucleotides. RefSeq annotates it as U2 spliceosomal RNA. NCBI's taxonomy places the organism in Eukaryota, Metazoa, Chordata, Amphibia, Anura, Ranidae. The record is from RefSeq and is a predicted model, not a curated record. The transcript has a single exon.